ACUUGAAUAGCUUAUAUUUAGAGCGCGACACUGAAGAUGUCGAUGAGGCAUACUAUGCCUUUAAGUA
This 67-nucleotide transfer RNA is filed under the name Procapritermes sp. G TB-2017. RNAcentral describes it as "tRNA-Phe". The record is from RNAcentral. Lineage: Eukaryota; Metazoa; Arthropoda; Insecta; Blattodea; Termitidae.